This 433-nucleotide ribosomal RNA is filed under the name Termitomyces sp. Group3. Its description in RNAcentral is "eukaryotic LSU rRNA". It matches the Rfam family "Eukaryotic large subunit ribosomal RNA", at positions 1 to 426 of the family's 3401-position model. The record is from RNAcentral. Lineage: Eukaryota; Fungi; Basidiomycota; Agaricomycetes; Agaricales; Lyophyllaceae.
UUGACCUCAAAUCAGGUAGGACUACCCGCUGAACUUAAGCAUAUCAAUAAGCGGAGGAAAAGAAACUAACAAGGAUUCCCCUAGUAACUGCGAGUGAAGCGGGAAAAGCUCAAAUUUAAAAUCUGGUAGUCUUUGGCUGCCCGAGUUGUAAUCUAGAGAAGCAUUAUCUGCGUUGGACUGUGUAUAAGUGUCCUGGAAUGGACCAUCAUAGAGGGUGAGAAUCCCGUCUUUGACACAGACUCCCAGUGCUUUGUGAUGUGCUCUCAAAGAGUCGAGUUGUUUGGGAAUGCAGCUCUAAAUGGGUGGUAAAUUCCAUCUAAAGCUAAAUAUUGGCGAGAGACCGAUAGCGAACAAGUACCGUGAGGGAAAGAUGAAAAGAACUUUGGAAAGAGAGUUAAACAGUACGUGAAAUUGCUGAAAGGGAAACGCUUGA